Molecule: ribosomal RNA, 758 nt
Filed under: uncultured marine archaeon
Lineage: Archaea
Description: bacterial SSU rRNA
Rfam family: Archaeal small subunit ribosomal RNA
Source: RNAcentral
CUACCGCUAUUGGAGUUCGAUUAAGCCAUGCGAGUCCAGAGCUUUCGGAGCUCGGCGUACCGCUCAGUAACACGUGGGUAACCUAACCUAUGCAGGGGAAUAACCUCGGGAAACUGAGUAUAAUGCCCCAUAGUCCACUACGCCUGGAACGGUGAGUGGAUCAAAGCUCAGGCGGCAUAGGAUGGGCCUGCGGCGUAUCAGGUUGUAGGGGGUGUAAAGUACCCUCUAGCCAUCUACGCGUACGGGUGUUGGGAGACAUAGCCCGGAGAUGGAUUCUGAGACACGAAUCCAGACCCUACGGGGUGCAGCAGGCGCGAAAACUUGACAAUGCGAGCAAUCGUGAUCAGGGAACUCCAAGUGGCUGGGGUAAGACCCAGUCUUUUCAUAACUCUUCAAAGGUUGUAGAAUAAGGGGUGGGUAAGGACGGUGCCAGCCGCCGCGGUAAUACCGGCGCCUCAAGUGGUAGUCGCUUUUAUUGGGCCUAAAACGUCCGUAGCCGGUUUGGUACAUUCGUGGGUAAAUCAACUCGCUCAACGAGUUGAAUUCUGCGAGGACGGCCAGACUUGGGACCGGGAGAGGUGUGGGGGUACUCUCAGGGUAGGGGUAAAAUCCUGUCAUCCUGAGAGGACCACCUGUUGCGAAGGCGCCACACUAGAACGGAUCCGACGGUCAGGGACGAAGCCCUAGGGGCACGAACCCGGAUUAGAUACCCGGGUAGUCCUAGGUUGUAAAACGCUGUGGACUUGAUGUUGGAAGAA